GGUAGACGAUGUACCCGUCGACAGCGAGGCGCCUGUGGUGACUUCGUUGAUCAAAAGUUUUCACCAAACGCUUUGUAGUAAAGACGUCACGCGUUGUCUA
This 100-nucleotide unclassified non-coding RNA is filed under the name Oryza sativa (Asian cultivated rice). RNAcentral's name for it is "partial microRNA MIR460b precursor". The record is from RNAcentral. Lineage: Eukaryota; Viridiplantae; Streptophyta; Magnoliopsida; Poales; Poaceae.